Non-coding RNA from Acanthosepion pharaonis, 113 nucleotides. NCBI's taxonomy places the organism in Eukaryota, Metazoa, Mollusca, Cephalopoda, Sepiida, Sepiidae. The record is from the annotation of a GenBank genome assembly.
UUACGGCCAUAUCUCGUUGAAAUAUCGGUUCCCGUAUAAUUGCCGAAGUUAAGCAACGUCGAACCUGGUUAGUACCUCGAUGGGUGACCGCUUAGGAAUAUCAAGGGCUGUAA